GAUGAACGCUGGCGGCGUGCCUAAUACAUGCAAGUCGAGCGAACGGACGAGAAGCUUGCUUCUCUGAUGUUAGCGGCGGACGGGUGAGUAACACGUGGAUAACCUACCUAUAAGACUGGGAUAACUUCGGGACACCGGAGCUAAUACCGGAUAAUAUUUUGAACCGCAUGGUUCAAAAGUGAAAGACGGUCUUGCUGUCACUUAUAGAUGGAUCCGCGCUGCAUUAGCUAGUUGGUAAGGUAACGGCUUACCAAGGCAACGAUGCAUAGCCGACCUGAGAGGGUGAUGGGCCACACUGAAACUGAGACACGGUCCAGACUCCUACGGGAGGCAGCAGUAGGGAAUCUUCCGCAAUGGGCGAAAGCCUGACGGAGCAACGCCGCGUGAGUGAUGAAGGUCUUCGGAUCGUAAAACUCUGUUAUUAGGGAAGAACAUAUGUGUAAGUAACGGUGAACAUCUGGACGGUACCUAACCAGAAAGCCACGGCUAACUACGU
This 496-nucleotide ribosomal RNA is filed under the name uncultured bacterium. RNAcentral describes it as "partial 16S ribosomal RNA". It matches the Rfam family "Bacterial small subunit ribosomal RNA", at positions 28 to 506 of the family's 1533-position model. The record is from RNAcentral.